Molecule: long non-coding RNA, 410 nt
Organism: Rhea pennata
Lineage: Eukaryota; Metazoa; Chordata; Aves; Rheiformes; Rheidae
Exons: 3
Source: RefSeq, a predicted model, not a curated record
UGACCUUCAUUUACAAACCAAUCAUUGCUGAAGUAUCUGGAGCAAAAAUUCAUAAGAAAUUUUAAGUCACAAUCUUUUCUGGAGAAAUGCAAUCUCAGGCCAUGGCAGCUGUACCUCUGCCAUCUCUGGACUCUGGUGCAUAAGCAGAGAGGCCUGGCUGGAACAGCUUCAUGUGCUGCGGCAGCUGGAGAAGAAUGCCAUGGACAUUUGGCAGACCCUUGAAACCUCUGGACACUCGCUCACCAUCCCGUCCAGGAACACUACCUUUUUUAGAGCUGUGAUGCUUUGCAAAUGAGUAAGACACACAAAGGCCCUAUAGACCUCUUGUCUCCAUCCCUCCCAUCCUACUUGCAGCUCUCUCUUGACAUGUUGCAGCUCCUAAAGCAACAUCAUCUAGGUGCCCUCAGUGU